RNAcentral lists this ribosomal RNA (234 nucleotides) under uncultured bacterium. RNAcentral's name for it is "partial 16S ribosomal RNA". It matches the Rfam family "Bacterial small subunit ribosomal RNA", at positions 524 to 757 of the family's 1533-position model. The record is from RNAcentral.
GACAGAGGGGGGCAAGCGUUGCUCGGAAUUACUGGGCGUAAAGGGCGCGUAGGCGGGAUGGUAAGUCGGUCGUGAAAUCCCUCGGCUCAACCGAGGAACGUCGAUCGAUACUACCGUUCUUGAGGAUUGCAGAGAGACUGGAAUUCCCGGUGUAGCGGUGAAAUGUGUAGAGAUCGGGAGGAACACCGGUGGCGAAGGCGGGUCUCUGGGCAAUUCCUGACGCUGAGGCGCGAA